This 5677-nucleotide long non-coding RNA is filed under the name Homo sapiens (human). Its description in RNAcentral is "HSALNT0238405". Lineage: Eukaryota; Metazoa; Chordata; Mammalia; Primates; Hominidae. The record is from RNAcentral.
UGUUGGUCCACUUGGAUUGAGCCUGUCUUUGAAGUCUAGGGUUACGUCUCAAAGUACUUGUAGAUUUGGGCCACGUACUGCAUCACACUCUGCCAGUCGGGCCGGUCUGUGUACAGCAUCUCGCUGAGUUCCUGCAGGGGAAGGGAAUGGGGGACAGAUCACAAGGCAGGACAUCACAGACCCCUUCCCCUCAAGGACUUCAGUCCAGGUUAGGGCUUACACUGCCUGGAAACCCUCCACUUACACAGACAGAACGUGAAGGCCAGCACAGGUGGUGCUGAAAGCGAUGAGUUAAAGGACUUUUCCUCCCACUUAUUCAGGAGAUACUGUCCCUUUCCAAAAACGGAAAACAUGACCUCCCACUGCUUUUAUCUUUUAACCAUAUGACAGCAUUUAAACAAGUUUUAAAAAGCAAAAAUCACCCAUAAUUUCACUAUUAAAAUGAUUUCCAAGUUUCUAAAUUACAUUUGAAUCCACCUCUAAUUCCCCAGACUCCCAGCACACUGCACGCGCUAUUACGUGGGCUGUGCCAUUACGUGGGCUGAGCAUUUCACACCCGGGUCCCCGUGCUGCUGUGCCACUGUGCGGGCUGCCAUUCUAGUGAAUGUGCACUCACCAGGGAAACUGCUGUCCACAAGGGACAUGGCAUCCAGUGUACGCUCACCUCGUGACCACCACAGACUCUGCAAUCAGCAUCUUUGUGCAGUAUUGUUUCCUUCUGUCGAACUAGUCCCUCAAGAUAAAUUACUGAGUGGGAUUAUCACAAAAGCCUUGAACCAAUUUCAAAUGCAACCAUUUAUUUUACCAGCAUUGUUACUACUUAAUGUGUUUUUUUGUUUGUUUGUUAUUUAAUACAGUUUGGUGAUUUUUUGGCUUAUUUUUAUUUUACUUUUGCUAAUUUGCUGGUUUUUACUGACUGAUUUAUUUUUGUUCAUUUUGCAAGUAAGCUUGUAAUGAGCAUGCAUAACAUCCAGGCCAGAAAGGGAGGGGCAAGAGGGUGGGCAUCCUGUCAGGCACUCAAACUUUUCUGAAAUUUGUGCCACUGGACAUAUUUAAUAAUUAACUUUGGGAUUGAAUUUGGAUUCUGUGUGGUUAAAAGAGAAUAGUAGGAAAGGACCCUGAUGUAAAGCCAGAAGCAGAGAUGCCAUGGAAAAGUAAGGCUGAACUUAGCACAUCAGUUCCUGGGGGUUAACAGAGUUGGCUGAGGCUGUUAAUGAGCCAUUCAUCCCCUGAUUCAAAAUCUGAACAGACUUCACUUAUUCUGCUCCCUGGUGAUGCUAAAAAAUUAUCAGCCUAUCAUUAGUCAUGGGAAAGGAGUGGAAGAAGAGUUGGUAGAACAUUCCGUGCAGGUACACCUAGAACAAUUUUAAAAGAAAAACAAACUUUCACAGAAUACAAGAAUAGAAUGUCUCCUUCUACCUACACUGGCUGUAGUCAUGACUGCACACAGACUGAGGCCUGGCAACCUAAAAUCCGUACCAAGGAGUGUUGCUAACAUGACUUACAGAAAGGAACUGAUGAAGAAUUGGGCAUGCAAUUUGGACAUAGAUGAGCUCUGGGAAAAGAAGGGAUACCUACAAACACAAGAGAGAUGGCACACUGCACACUUUCCUCUGUAUUAUGGAAAGGGUGUGUCUUUAAUCUCAGAGAGGACUCCGAAGUCCAAUCAAUAUUCAGUUUUGAGCAGACAAUCUUACAUGCUUGAACUUCAUAACUGAACUAAAAAUAUUUAGUACAUUGUUAACAUAUUUGAGAAUUUGUGAAAAGAUGUUAUACAUUUCAGAAGACAGAGUAUGCUGCAUUAGUAACAAUCUUAUAGUGCAUGACAUUUGUUUGAAUUAGUAGUUAAGACCCUCCAAAAGAUACCAGACCCAGAUGAUUUCACUUGUGAAUUCUAUCAAAUACUUAAGGAAGAAAUAAUACCAAUUCUACACAAUCUCUUCAAAAAAUGGAAGAGGAGAGAAUAAUUCCCAACUCAUUCCAGGAUCCCAACAUUAUCCUGAUACCAAAACUAGACAUAAACAUUACAGGAAAUCUACAUGCCAAUUUCUCAUGAAUACACAAUCUAUUAACCUAUAAAAGUAUAAUACAUCAUGAUCAAGUGAGGUUCAUCCCAGGAACACAAGGCUGGUUCAACAUUUGUAAACUGAUGUAAUUCGUCACAUUAACUAACUGAACAAGAAAAACCAUAUGAUCAAAUCAACAGAUGAAGAAAAAGCAUUACACAAAAUUCCACAAUCAAGAUAGUUUUUAUAGGUGGUAACUCUCAACAAACUAGGAAGAGAAGGGAACCUCUUUUACCUAGCAAAGGAUAUGUAUAAAAAACCAACAGCUGACAUCAUACUUAAUGGUGAAAGACCUGAACAUUCCCCCCGUAAAAUCAUGAACAAGGCAAGGAUGUCCUUUCUCAUCUGUCCUAUUUAAAACUGUACUGGACUGUAAUCCCAGCACUUUGGGAGGCCGAGGCGGGUGGAUCACCUGAGGUCAGGAGUUCAAGGCAGGCCUGGCAAACAUGUUGAAACUCCGUCUCUACUAAAAAUACAAAAAAAUUAGCCAGGCAUGGUGACAGGUGUCUAUAAUCCCAGUUACUCAGGAGGCUGAGACAGGAGAAUCACUUGAACCCAGGAGGCAGAGGUUGCAGUGAGCCGAGAUCAUGCCAUUGCACCCCAGGCCUGGGUGACAGAGCAAGACUCCAUCUCAAAAACAAAAACAAAAACAAAAACAAAAAAAAAAUGUACUGGAAGUUCUAGCUAGUGCUAAACGGCAUGAAAAAGAAACAAAUGGCACGCAGAUUGGAAAGGGAGACAUAAAACUGCCUUUAUUUGCAGAUGAUAUGAUUGUUUAGAAAAAUCCCAAAGCAUUUACAUGCAGGUUUAGCUAAGUCUCAGGAUACAAGGUCAGUAUACAAAAGUCCAUUGCUGUCCUAUGUACCAAUUGAACAACUGGAUUUUGUAAUAAGAAAAACAAUAACAUUUACAAUAGCACCAAAAAAAAAAAAAAAAAAACCCCACUAAGGUCUAAAUCUAACAAGGUAUGUGCAGAAGGCAGACACAGCUGUCAGGGUGGUUGACGGCAUGCGCUCUGGAGCUGCCUGCCUGGCCUUGCCUCUUGCCUUUCCCGCUCAUAAGCCAUGUGCCUCAGUUUCCUCUUAUAGAGUGCAUCCACCUUGCAGGACCUCCAUGAGGGUCCAACAAGUCCUUGCAUGAAAAAUGCCCAAAAUGGUAAAUACAUACAGUAAAUAUGAAAAACAAAAUGCUUGUCACACAAUCAAGCACAAAUUAGCUAUUUAAGCACAGCUCAUUAAGUUUACACUUGCAGAGUAGGCCCAGCCAUGCCUCAGGAAUUGCUGCAUGGUGACCUCCCUCCACGGGGGCAUGCCAGCACCCAGUCCUGCAGCAGCUGUCCUGGUGGGCAUGCUGGCACUCAGUGAGCAACAGCCCUCAUGGACUACAUGGCCUGGUAAAGACACAGCAGCCCUGGGGACACAUGUUUUGGCCGUUUUUAUGACAGUGACAUCACAUAUCGUCCCUCGCCUAAUUCCUUUUCUGGGGAGUUGCUUGCAUCUGUAAUUGGGCUGGCUAAGAUGCUCUCCUUACACGGUGGCUGAGAAAGAACACUUUCUAAUAUCUGGGGAACACUAUAGAGCUUCAUUUUUAAAGAUCUCAUCAUCUCACACCAGUCAGAAUGGCUAUUGAUAGAACGUCAAAAAGUAACAGAUGCUGACAAGGCUGUGGAGAAAAGGGAAUACACUCUUGGUGGAAAUGUAAAUUAGUUCAGUUACUGUGGAAGGCACUUUGGAGAUUUCUCAAAGAACUUAAAACAGAACUACCAUUUGACUCAGCAAUAUCAUUACUGGGUAUAUAUCCAGAAGAAAAGAAAUCGUUCUAUCAAAAACACAUGCACACUUAUGUUCAUCACAGUGCUAGUCACAAUAGCAAAGACAUGAAAUCAACCUAGGUGUCCAUCAACAGUAGACUGGAUAAAGGGCCGGGCACAGUGGCUCAUGCCUGUAAUCCCAGCCCUUUGGGAGGCUGAGGUGGGUGGAUCACCUGAGGUCAGGAGUUUGAGACCAGCCUGGCUAACAUGAUGAAACCCCAUUUCUACUAAAAAAAAUACAAAAAAUUAGCUGGGCAUGGUGGUGCGUGCCUAUAAUCCCAGCUACUCAGGAGGCUGAGGCAGAAGAAUUGCUUGAACCCGGAAGUCGGAGGUUGCAGUGAGCCAAGAUUGCACCAUUGCACUCUAUCUUGGGCAACAAGGCGAAAUUCCAUCUCAAAAAAAAAAAAAAAAAAAAGAAAAGGAGAAAGAAAACCAGUAGACUGGAUAAAGAAAAUGUGGUACAUAUAUACCAUGGAAUACUAUGCAGCCAUAAAAAGAACAAAAUCAUGUCCUUUGCAGCAGCGUGGAUUCAGCUAGGGGCCAUUAUCCUCAGCAAACUAAUGCACAAACAGAAAACCAAAUAAGACAUGUUCUCACUUAUAAAUGGAGCUCAACAUUGGGUAGUCAUGGACAUAAAGAUGGGGACAGUAGACACUGGGGACUACAAGAGGGAGAAAGGAGGGAGGGAGGCAAGGGCUGAAAAACUAUCGGCUACUAUGUGCCUAUCUGGGUGACAGGAUCACUCAUAUCCCAAACCUCAGCAUCAUCCAGUGUACCCAUGUAACAAACCUGUACAUGUACUCCUUGAAUCUAAAAUAAAAGUUGAAAUUAUAAAAAUAAAGAUCUCAUCCUAAUAUGUUAUACCCCAGAAACUUAUAUUUACUUGAAUAUAAACAUAUAAGACAAUUUUCCUGGCAUAAUCUAACAACAGAACUUGACUGAAGAUUUGGGGAUUACUGCUGUCACUUCUGACUGGGUGUAGUUUUAAAGUGUCAUGUGUAAUUCAACAUACUGGAUUUUCCAAUCCACAUCAAGGUACUGAAAAGCAAAUUUAAGAAUGUAGGAAAUUUCUAUUUUGUUGGUGGAAAAAGCCGGGAAAGUGCUCACAAACACUCCUAAGUGCCUUUGAGAUUAAUUAUCAUGUGUGUCAGCAGCUCCUCACAGACCAUCCACACCAAUGAAACCCCUGGCUCUGACAAUUAGGACAACAAAAUGACCUCAUUCACUUCCCAGCUCACUAACUUCUAUAGCACAUUAGAUGAAAAUUAAGAAAAAGAUAUUAUAUUUAAACAGAAGUAAAUAUUAAUUACAACACUACAAAGAAAAAUGUAUUCUGUGUAAAAUAUAAUCUUCCAACAAGGUCUCAUUGUAUCUUUAUCCUUACCUGAUCUCUCUGUUGGUACUCCUUAGUUUUGUUGUUUCUGAAGGGAGAUCCCUGCUACUCCACCCUGGUCAGAUGUGUAAGUUUCCUCACACCUUUUUAAAUUUCCCAGACUUGUAAAUACACAAUAGGGAUAUCUGCGUCUUAAAGAUUUAGCAAAAUCUGGGCUGAUGGGGAUAUUUUUUCUUUGUGUGUGUGACUACAUUUUAAAGCAUAAAUUCAACCUCUUCAAUGGUUAAAGUUUUAUGUCUUCUUAAGUUUCAUAGGAAUAUUUACAUUUAAUAUUUGAAGAAACAUACUUGUAUUUUUCUAGAAAACUGUCCAUUCUGUUUCAAAAUUACACUGGCAUAGCACUGUUCAUGGUGGUAAGAUUUCACAAUAGAUGUACAUUCACUUUUUCAUUUCUCAGAUUCCCCACAU